This is a long non-coding RNA of Sciurus carolinensis (gray squirrel), 534 nucleotides long. RefSeq lists it as uncharacterized. The transcript has 3 exons. NCBI's taxonomy places the organism in Eukaryota, Metazoa, Chordata, Mammalia, Rodentia, Sciuridae. The record is from RefSeq and is a predicted model, not a curated record.
AGCACACACGUAUACCAUGAACAGCACAGAGCUAUAUUCCCACAUGCCUGAUAUUUGAACUACAAUAUGUCAAAACAGAUUUAGAGAAGAAGGUGUUGGCUGAUAGAUGGCAUUUAUACAUUUUAAGUAAAGAUGGAAAUUUCAGUCACAAUGGCAGAAUGAUAAGAGACUAUAAGGAAGAAAACUGAGCAAGAUUAUAUGGGAUUGAACCCAGGGCCUUGUGCAUGUGAGGCAAGCACUCUACCAACUGAGCUAUCUCCCCAGACCUUUAAAAAAAAAAAGAAAAAAGAAGUGGUAUUGUUCUAUGUAUCUGUCCAUUCAACUCAAGACUUACAACGGUUCUACCAUCUUCAACAUGUGAUUUCCAGAUAGCUUGGGUACUCAGUCUCUAAAAGAAAAAAUACUUGAGAAGACUACAUCUCAGUCUGCAAAAUGUGCCCAAUAAGUUCACUACCAUUUGAUAGCCAGAAUCAGUGACCAUAUCUAACUAAAAUAUGGACUGAGAUAAUCUCUGUGAAACCAAGAACAAAAUAA